GAUGAACGCUGGCGGCGUGCCUAAUACAUGCAAGUCGAGCGAACAGACGAGGAGCUUGCUCCUCUGACGUUAGCGGCGGACGGGUGAGUAACACGUGGAUAACCUACCUAUAAGACUGGGAUAACUUCGGGAAACCGGAGCUAAUACCGGAUAAUAUAUUGAACCGCAUGGUUCAAUAGUGAAAGACGGUUUUGCUGUCACUUAUAGAUGGAUCCGCGCCGCAUUAGCUAGUUGGUAAGGUAACGGCUUACCAAGGCAACGAUGCGUAGCCGACCUGAGAGGGUGGUCGGCCACACUGGAACUGAGACACGGACCAGACUCCUACGGGAGGCAGCAGUAGGGAAUCUUCCGCAAUGGGCGAAAGCCUGACGGAGCAACGCCGCGUGAGUGAUGAAGGUCUUCGGAUCGUAAAACUCUGUUAUUAGGGAAGAACAAAUGUGUAAGUAACUAUGCACGUCUUGACGGUACCUAAUCAGAAAGCCACGGCUAACUACGUG
Molecule: ribosomal RNA, 497 nt
Filed under: uncultured bacterium
Lineage: Bacteria
Description: partial 16S ribosomal RNA
Rfam family: Bacterial small subunit ribosomal RNA
Source: RNAcentral